CCCUUAGAUGUUCUGGGCUGCACGCGCGCUACACUGAUGCGCUCAACGAGUUUAUGACCUUGCCCGGAAGGGUUGGGUAAUCUUCUUAAAACGCAUCGUGAUGGGGAUAGAUUAUUGCAAUUAUUAAUCUUCAACGAGGAAUUCCUAGUAAGCGCGAGUCAUCAGCUCGUGCUGAUUACGUCCCUGCCCUUUGUACACACCGCCCGUCGCUCCUACCGAUUGAGUGAUCUGGUGAAUAAUUCGGACUGCAGCAGUGUUCGGUCACGAACGUUGCAGCGGAAAGUUUAGUGAACCUUAUCACUUAGAGGAAGGAGAAGUCGUAACA
Molecule: ribosomal RNA, 325 nt
Filed under: uncultured eukaryote
Lineage: Eukaryota
Description: partial 18S ribosomal RNA
Rfam family: Eukaryotic small subunit ribosomal RNA
Source: RNAcentral